AGAGAUAACAUUUCUCAGCUGGAGGUGGCUAGCUCAGCUGGCCCUUGCUUGGUGGCAGUCACAGGAAGCCCUGCGGUGAAGGCGAGUUCAAAAGGCUUCUGGAGCAGGCUACUGACCACAAGCCCAGGAGGUGUUCGUGUCCUGUGUGAGUGAGGUCACCCUGCCACUUCCCCCUUGGACAAGAUGACAAGGCAUGGCAAGAACUGCACUGCAGGGGCUGUCUACACCUACCACGAAAAGAAGAAGGACACAGCGGCCUCAGGCUAUGGGACCCAGAACAUUCGACUGAGCCGGGAUGCUGUGAAGGACUUUGACUGCUGCUGUCUCUCUCUGCAGCCCUGCCAUGACCCUGUGGUCACGUAAGCUGGUUUGUGUGGGUUUAGCAGACCUCUCAGAGCCUCAGAGCCCUCACCAGAGAUAGGCAGCUCUCCUCCACCACAGGUGGAGAGAACGAGCAAGCGAGCGAGUGACCGAGUGAGCGAGUACACUGCAAGUAGCUGGGGCUGACUCAGAGGGUGGGGUGCUUUUUAGCACGAAGGAAGCUCUGGGUCCAUCCCCAGCACCACAGAAAGCAGGGUGUGAUGCACACCUGUUAUCCCAGUGCUCAGGCAAUGCAGACAGGAAGACAGGUUCAAGGCCAGCCCCAGCUACAUGGUGGUCUGAAGUUAACCUGAGCUUCCGGACAUCAUGUCUCU
RNAcentral lists this long non-coding RNA (695 nucleotides) under Rattus norvegicus (Norway rat). RNAcentral's name for it is "long non-coding RNA NONRATT000691". The record is from RNAcentral. Lineage: Eukaryota; Metazoa; Chordata; Mammalia; Rodentia; Muridae.